AUUAACACAAAGGGAAAGAGGAGAGGCACCUGAUACAUGUUCUCUAGGCCUUUUAGAAAACAUGGAGUUGUUCCUUUGGUCACAUACAUGCGAAUCUACAAGAAAGGUUAUACCGUAGUCAUCAAGAGGUUGGGUGCUGUUCAAAAAUGAAUGCCCCACAACUAUCACCAUGGAAAAACUGGAAGAGUCUACAAUGUAACCCAGCAUACUGUUGGCACUGUUGUAAACAAACAAGUUAACGGCAUGAUUCUUGCCAAGAUAAUUGAUGUGCAUAUUGAGCAUAUUAAGUACUCUAAGUGCCGAGACAGCUUCCUCAAACACGUGAAGGAAAACGAUCAGAAAAGGAUCUCAAGGAGAAAGUCACCUGAGUUCAAUUAAAGCAGCAGCCUGCUCCAUCCAGAGAAGCACACUGUGUGAGAACCAAUAAGAAGGAGGCUGCUAGAACUUAUUUCCUAUGAAUUCAUGC
This 466-nucleotide long non-coding RNA is filed under the name Homo sapiens (human). Its description in RNAcentral is "non-protein coding lnc-STX7-1:1". Lineage: Eukaryota; Metazoa; Chordata; Mammalia; Primates; Hominidae. The record is from RNAcentral.